ACGCUCGACACCUACGAGAGGCAGCAGUAGGGAAUCUUCCACAAUGGACGCAAGUCUGAUGGAGCAACGCCGCGUGAGUGAAGAAGGUCUUCGGAUCGUAAAACUCUGUUGUUAGAGAAGAACACGAGUGAGAGUAACUGUUCAUUCGAUGACGGUAUCUAACCAGCAAGUCACGGCUAACUACGUUCNCGACAGCCGCGGUAAUCUGAGCGGGCUGGCAAGGC
RNAcentral lists this ribosomal RNA (224 nucleotides) under uncultured bacterium. Its description in RNAcentral is "partial 16S ribosomal RNA". It matches the Rfam family "Bacterial small subunit ribosomal RNA", at positions 328 to 539 of the family's 1533-position model. The record is from RNAcentral.